AGAGUUUGAUCAUGGCUCAGAUUGAACGCUGGCGGAAUGCUUUACACAUGCAAGUCGAACGGCAGCACGGACUUCGGUCUGGUGGCGAGUGGCGAACGGGUGAGUAACAUAUCGGAACGUAUCCAAUAAUGGGGGAUAACUAAUCGAAAGGUUGGCUAAUACCGCAUACGCCCUACGGGGGAAAGCUAGGGACCUUCGGGCCUGGCGUUAAUGGAGCGGCCGAUAUCUGAUUAGCUAGUUGGUGGGGUAAAGGCCCACCAAGGCGACGAUCAGUAGCUGGUCUGAGAGGACGACCAGCCACACUGGAACUGAGACACGGUCCAGACUCCUACGGGAGGCAGCAGUGGGGAAUUUUGGACAAUGGGCGCAAGCCUGAUCCAGCCAUUCCGCGUGAGUGAAGAAGGCCUUCGGGUUGUAAAGCUCUUUCGCAAGGGAAGAAAACUUAGCCACUAACAUUGGCUGAGGUUGACGGUACCUUGAUAAGAAGCACCGGCUAACUACGUGCCAGCAGCCGCGGUAAUACGUAGGGUGCGAGCGUUAAUCGGAACUACUGGGCGUAAAGCGUGCGCAGGCGGUUUUGUAAGUCAGAUGUGAAAUCCCCGAGCUCAACUUGGGAACUGCGUUUGAAACUACAAGACUAGAAUAUGUCAGAGGGGGGUAGAAUUCCACGUGUAGCAGUGAAAUGCGUAGAGAUGUGGAGGAAUACCAAUGGCGAAGGCAGCCCCCUGGGAUAAUAUUGACGCUCAUGCACGAAAGCGUGGGGAGCAAACAGGAUUAGAUACCCUGGUAGUCCACGCCCUAAACGAUGUCUACUAGUUGUUGGUGGAGUAAAAUCCAUGAGU
Molecule: ribosomal RNA, 842 nt
Filed under: uncultured bacterium
Lineage: Bacteria
Description: bacterial SSU rRNA
Rfam family: Bacterial small subunit ribosomal RNA
Source: RNAcentral